This is a non-coding RNA of Microcebus murinus (gray mouse lemur), 1906 nucleotides long. Lineage: Eukaryota; Metazoa; Chordata; Mammalia; Primates; Cheirogaleidae. The record is from RefSeq and is a predicted model, not a curated record.
GUGACGGGCGCCUGGCGGCCAGUGGCAGUUAGCUCUCCGUCUCCAUCUCCGCGUCCUCCUCACCUCAGGUGGAGGGUUUGUGUCAAGACGAUGUAAACAUGGGCCACAGACAGCGGAACUUUCUGGAGUUGGCUCUUCACUCAGCACCAUCCCCUGAGGGUCAGCCAGGCUGCUGCUGUGUCAGCACCCAGUUGCUUUUUACCGCUGAGCAGUCGUCCGUGGUGUGUGGAUGAGUCAUCGUCGUUUAACUGUUCACCCGGCAAGCACGCUGGAGUCGUGUCCUGCUUUUCCUGUGAACAUUUGUACAGGUGGAGCGUGUCGUCUCAAAAUCCAAAAUCCACAGUGCCCCCAGACUCAGAACUUUUUAAACACCAACAUGACGCUCAAGGGAAACACUCAUUGUAGCAGUUUGGAUUUUGGAUUUUGGAUGGUCAGUCAAAACCUAUAAUGCAAAUAUUCCAAAACCGAAAGUACUUCUGGUCCCAUGUGUUUUUGGUAAGGGAAGUUUUCAUUUCUCUGGGAUGUGUGCCCGCGGUUAGAUUGCUGAGUUACGUGGUGUGUGUCCCGUCUUUAUGAGAAACUGUCACACUGUUUUCUGGAACCUCGGUAGCAUUUCCCACUCACAGCAGCAGUGCACGGGAGCUCCCGUUGGGGGUGUCAGUGUUUCGUGUGCGUCAUUCUGAUCGGGUGUAAUGAUCUCGUGAUGACCUAGACUUGCAUGUGCUUGUUGAAUGAUGAUGUGGAACAUCUUUCGUGUGUUUAUUCCUCGUCUGCAUAUCCCGUUCAGUAGAAUGGCUGUUUGUGUAUUCUGCCCAUUUUCUGGUGGGAUUCUUUGGUUUUUACUGUUGAUUUUGAGAGUUCCUUUGAUAUUUUGAUACUAGUUGCUAGUUGGGUUUGUGGCUUGUACAUAUUUUCUCCCAAUCCAUAGCUUAUUUUUCAUUCUCUUAGGAGGAUCUUGAGCAAAGCAAAAGCUCUUAAUUUUCAUGAGGUUCUAUUUACCAAUUUUUUCGUUUAGGAAUUGUACUUUGGUGUGGAAGCUAUUAAUCGUCAAUCUAGUCCUAGAUCCCAAAAAUUUUCUCAGAAGCUUUAUUCUGAAAACUCAUUAUUCUGAAACUCUUAAGAGUUUCAUGGUUUUACAUUUAAUCCUUGGUGAUCCAUGUUCAGUUAAUCUCUGUGCAGGGCGUGCGGCUUGGGCUGAGGCCCAUCUCUGGCUCCAGCCCUUCUGUGGGAACGUGCCGGGUUCCCAUCCUUGACCUCCCGCAACGCUGCCAGAAAGCAGCUGGGGCUGUGCGUGUUUCUGGGCUGUUCCUCCGUUCUGUGGACAUUUUUGCCCUUUUCUUACUCUUGCAGUGAAAGCGUGUCUUCCGUCUCUGAGGAUGACGUCAGCUGUAGGUCAUUUGUAAUGGUCUUUAUCAAGUUGAGGAAGGCCCCCUCUAUUCCUGUUCUCUGUGUGUUGAUUGAUAAGAUCAUGUGAUUUUUCUUCUUUACCCUGUUAACACAUGGUGGAUGACAUUGGUUUUUGACCAUUGAAACAACCUUGCAACCCUUAAAUAAAGCUUGUGCGUUUGUGGUGUGCGAUGAUUUUCAUACAUUUUUGUUAUGUAUUUUUCUUCGUGUUGUUGUUGACAGUGGGUCUCUGUUUCUGUGUUUUGUUCUGUCUUCGUCCAGCCCCUCCCCGGGUGGGGUGGUUUGUGGUUUUCCCUUGUCCUCACCGUCUGUAUGGGGGCCUCCUUCAUUCCUGAUGUCCGUGACUUGUUUCUUCUGUUUUUGCGGGGCAAAAGUAGUUGAGGCAGGCCCGAGAGGAGAUUAGCUACCUCCCCACGGAGCCAGGUCCCUAAGAUAGGAGUCGCCACAGAGGAUAAGGAAAUUGAUAGGCAACAGAGAGAAAUAAAAGAAUACACAGAGA